RNAcentral lists this long non-coding RNA (277 nucleotides) under Nicotiana benthamiana. RNAcentral's name for it is "long non-coding RNA (NBEN_LNC013242)". The record is from RNAcentral. Lineage: Eukaryota; Viridiplantae; Streptophyta; Magnoliopsida; Solanales; Solanaceae.
CCACCUUUGAAUCCCCCAUUCUCUCAAAUUCUCUCUCAAACUUAGCUGCCGCCUUCUUCCACCAUCCUAAAAAAAUGCCUGAAUCAAUAGCUUCCAAAGCCAUCAAAGAAUGUAUUUGCCUCCUACGACUUCUACCUACUUGAUUAUCCUGCUUUCAAGAACAGAACCUGAUGAAGUUUGGUCCAGAAGUUGGUCUAUUUCAGUGCUAUGAUAUCUCCGGCUAUCUUUGACCUUGCUCCAGCCAGCCAUGGCUAUUAAAGCCUGAGUUUGACUUCUC